Molecule: non-coding RNA, 22 nt
Filed under: Mus musculus (house mouse)
Lineage: Eukaryota; Metazoa; Chordata; Mammalia; Rodentia; Muridae
Source: RNAcentral
UGAAUUUUGAUGACUCUGCUGU